UGGGGAAUUUUGGACAAUGGGGGCAACCCUGAUCCAGCCAUGCCGCGUGAGUGAAGAAGGCCUUCGGGUUGUAAAGCUCUUUCGGCGGGGACGAAACGGUCCGGGUGAAUAAUCCGGACUACUGACGGUACCCGCAGAAGAAGCACCGGCUAACUACGUGCCAGCAGCCGCGGUAAUACGUAGGGUGCGAGCGUUAAUCGGAAUUACUGGGCGUAAAGCGUGCGCAGGCGGAUAUCCAAGUCUGAUGUGAAAUCCCCGGGCUUAACCUGGGAACUGCGUUGGAAACUGGAUAUCUAGAGUGUGUCAGAGGGAGGUAGAAUUCCACGUGUAGCAGUGAAAUGCGUAGAGAUGUGGAGGAAUACCGAUGGCGAAGGCAGCCUCCUGGGAUAACACUGACGCU
RNAcentral lists this ribosomal RNA (400 nucleotides) under uncultured bacterium. RNAcentral's name for it is "bacterial SSU rRNA". It matches the Rfam family "Bacterial small subunit ribosomal RNA", at positions 355 to 747 of the family's 1533-position model. The record is from RNAcentral.